RNAcentral lists this small RNA (585 nucleotides) under Pan troglodytes (chimpanzee). Its description in RNAcentral is "retained intron". Lineage: Eukaryota; Metazoa; Chordata; Mammalia; Primates; Hominidae. The record is from RNAcentral.
AGAGGCAGGGGAAAACCACGCAGAAGCAGGAGCUGAAGACCUCAGACCGGCACCAGGGACAGCUUAAUGAAGACAAACUGAAAGGGAAACUGAGAUCCUUAGAAAACCAGCUGUACACCUGUACCCAGAAAUACUCCCCUUGGGGAAUGAAAAAAGUACUACUGGAGAUGGAAGACCAGAAAAACAGCUAUGAGCAGAAGGCCAAGGAGUCACUGCAGAAAGUGCUGGAGGAGAAAAUGAAUGCAGAGCAGCAACUACAGAGCACACAGGUAUGGGGAUGCCACAUAGACAUGGGGCUGGGGACUCCAGGCAGCUUGGGGAACAGGGGAGCCAGCUGCACAACUCCCUGGAACCCUCUCCUCUCUGAUCUCCCUCAGCGAUCCCUGGCCCAGGCAGAGCAGAAGUGUGAAGAGUGGAGGAGCCAGUAUGAGGCUCUGAAGGAGGACUGGAGGACCCUUGGGACCCAGCACAGGGAGCUGGAGAGCCAACUCCACGUGCUUCAGUCCAAACUGCAGGGAGCAGAUAGCAGGGACUUACAGAUGAACCAGGCCCUGCGAUUUUUGGAAAAUGAGCACCAGGAACUGC